AUUGAACGCUGGCGGCAGGCUUAACACAUGCAAGUCGAGCGGGGUGAUGGUGCUUGCACUAUCACUUACCGGCGGACGGGUGAGUCAUGCUUAGGAAUCUGCCUAUAAGUGGGGGACAACAUGUAGACAGGGAUGCUAAUACCGGAUACGUCAUACGGGAGACAGCAGGGGAUCAAUUGUGCCCUUGCGCUAAUAGAGGAGGCUAGGUAGGAUUAGGUAGGUGGUGGGGUAAAGGCCUACCAAGGCGACGAUCUGUAGCGGGUAUGAGAGGAGGAUGCGCCACACUGGGACUGGGACACGGCCCAGACUCCUACGGGAGGCAGCAGUGGGGUAUAUUGGACAGUGUGGGGAACCCUGAUCCAGCCAUGCCGCGUGUGUGAAGAAGGCCUUAUGGUUGUAAAGCACUUUAAGCGAGGAGGAGGCUCUUUUGGUUAAUACCCAAGAUGAGUGGACGUUACUCGCAGAAUAAGCACCGGCUAACUCUGUGCCAGCAGCCGCGGUAA
RNAcentral lists this ribosomal RNA (503 nucleotides) under uncultured bacterium. Its description in RNAcentral is "partial 16S ribosomal RNA". It matches the Rfam family "Bacterial small subunit ribosomal RNA", at positions 30 to 523 of the family's 1533-position model. The record is from RNAcentral.